UACGGAGGGUGCGAGCGUUGUCCGGAAUCAUUGGGCGUAAAGGGCGCGUAGGUGGCCUGCUAAGCGUGCGGUGAAAGUCGGGGGCUCAACCCCCGAUCGGCCGUGCGAACUGGGAGGCUUGAGCACUGUAGAGGCAGGCGGAAUUCCGGGUGUAGCGGUGGAAUGCGUAGAGAUCCGGAAGAACACCGGUGGCGAAGGCGGCCUGCUGGGCAGUUUUGCUGACACUGGAGGCGCGACGAGCGUGGGGAGCAAACAGG
Molecule: ribosomal RNA, 257 nt
Filed under: uncultured bacterium
Lineage: Bacteria
Description: partial 16S ribosomal RNA
Rfam family: Bacterial small subunit ribosomal RNA
Source: RNAcentral